UAGCGUAGUGGUUAGUGCACAGCCCCCGAUAGGUUGAGACGCGGGUUCGAAUCCCGC
RNAcentral lists this transfer RNA (57 nucleotides) under Nippostrongylus brasiliensis. Lineage: Eukaryota; Metazoa; Nematoda; Chromadorea; Rhabditida; Heligmosomidae. The record is from Rfam by way of RNAcentral.